CCUACGGGAGGCAGCAGUGGGGAAUAUUGCACAAUGGGCGAAAGCCUGAUGCAGCAACGCCGCGUGAAGGAAGAAGGGUUUCGGCUCGUAAACUUCUAUCAACAGGGACGAAAGAAAUGACGGUACCUGGAUAAGAAGCCCCGGCUAACUACCUGCCAGCAGCCGCGGGAAUACGUAGGGGGCAAGCGUUAUCCGGAAUUACUGGAGGUAAAGGGUUAGUAUGCGGCAUGGUAAGCCAGAUGUGAAAGCCUUGGGCUUAACCCGAGGAGUGCAUUUGGAACUAUCAAGCUAGAGUACAGGAGAGGAAAGCGGAAUUCCUAGUGCAGCGGUGAAAUGCGUAGAUAUUAGGAAGAACACCAGUGGCGAAGGCGGCUUUCUGGACUGAAACUGACGCUGAGGCACGAAAGCGUGGGGAGCGAACAGGAUUAGAUACCCUGGUAGUC
Molecule: ribosomal RNA, 443 nt
Filed under: uncultured bacterium
Lineage: Bacteria
Description: partial 16S ribosomal RNA
Rfam family: Bacterial small subunit ribosomal RNA
Source: RNAcentral